This is an RNA transcript of Dermochelys coriacea (leatherback sea turtle), 3811 nucleotides long. It is a transcript of the gene named Ras like without CAAX 1, with no coding region annotated. The transcript is spliced from 8 exons. Lineage: Eukaryota; Metazoa; Chordata; Testudines; Dermochelyidae. The record is from RefSeq and is a predicted model, not a curated record.
UUUUCACUAGGAGAUGGAGGAAUCGAGGAAGGUAAGCGAUUUGCUCAAAAGAGAAAGGGCCCGGCAGUGAAGGAAUCAGGGAUAGUCCCUCUUCCACCUUUGGGUGCAGCGCUGCCCUUGCUCCUGAUGCACUCCAUACACGGAAGGGGCGGGCCUAUGCGCGGGCGGGGCAUGAAGUGCUCGCUGGGCCUAAGGCAUCAAAGUUGCUGCCGCAGCCAUUUUGGUCUGCUCUCAGAAGGGGCCGAAGCGGUGGUGUGCCGGUCCUGGGCCAGUGGGGUCCUGCCCUCCCGGGCCCUGUCAGUGAGGGCGGGAGGAUGCAACGCGGAAAAGUCCGGCGUCCCUGACACGGCGGCGGCGCUUUCCCUGGCGCCGGGGGAGAUGGACUCUGGAGCCCGCCAGGGCGGUGGCGCCUUAGGACUAUCCCGCGAGUAUAAAUUAGUGAUGCUGGGAGCUGGAGGCGUAGGCAAGAGCGCUAUGACCAUGCAGUUCAUAAGCCACCGGUUCCCAGAGGACCAUGAUCCUACCAUUGAGGAUGCUUAUAAAAUACGAAUACGGAUUGAUGAUGAACCUGCAAAUUUGGACAUUUUGGACACAGCAGGACAGGCAGAGUUUACAGCCAUGCGGGACCAGUACAUGAGGGCAGGUGAGGGAUUUAUCAUCUGUUAUUCAAUCACGGAUCGCCGCAGUUUUCAUGAAGUGCGUGAGUUCAAACAGCUCAUCUACCGUGUUCGGCGCACUGAUGACACUCCUGUGGUUCUUGUGGGGAACAAAUCUGAUCUGACGCUGCUACGACAGGUGACUAAGACUGUCAAUAGAAAAUAUUGCGACUGGGGGCUCAGAAAUAAACAAAGUUUGUAGUACGCUCAUAACUUCUGGUGGAUUUAGCUUACUAGCUGGAGGCUUAGAAGAGAAGAACAAACUAUGCGUCAGGUGGAGUGCAGUAAACUAUUAAUAGGCUGGAGAAAAUAGCUUCUACCUGAGAGGCCAGUGAUAUCCAUUUUCGGUAAAUGUCUAGCUUUCAGCACCACAACAGUCAUUCUCUGCGCAACAGGCUGGUAAGACAGUGAGACUUGCAGCUCUCCUCUGCUAAUGCAUUUCUGUGGAAAAGAAGCAGAUACAACUGGGAAGACCUGGGAGGUAAUGAACAGGCUGCACAUAGAAGAAUUUAACCUUACAAAUAAAAAUGCAGCUACCUCUAGGACGAGACACAAUAACUUUUUAAUAGAGAACCGCAAAAAUUUACCACAUCUUAGAGCAGGAAAUUAAGAAGAGAAUCCCAUAUCCAAUUGAAACUAGAGCUGAGUAACAAAAAUAGACCAACCACUAAAGGAAAAAUCAGAAUUGGAAUGCAAGUACUUAUACUUCUAAAUAGCCCCCUUGGGUUUGCUUGCAGAGCCUAUGAGGAGUAAACCAAAAUGCUGGAAUUUGUACAUUUAUAUUUCAACUCAUAAAUUACAGGGGGGAAAACCAUCUCAUACUCCAAAACUAUUCAGCAGUUUCUGCUGUCUGAAAAUUGUAUUUAGUUUUGCAAUGCUCCUAAGGAGUUUAUUUUCAAAAAUCAUGCACAGAAAAUUUUAAGUAAUACUGGAUAGACUGAAUUUUGAUUCAUGUGAUGCUCUCACUCCAUAUAUCAUUCAUAAACAUAAAUCACAGCUUACUAGAUAACACUUUAUUAGUAGUAAGGAGCGUGUAACGGGCUGUUUCCUACCAAAGCCUUUGAGGAGGAUUUGGGACUGCAGUCUGCUGACAUUAUGUCUUGUCCUAGUUUCAUCCUUUAAUUCUCCACACUUAUUUAUUGUACACAAUUUCAAGGUGCCCAUUACAGUAGUAUCUAGGAACAAUUUACAUAAUUUAAGGAAUAGAAUACGAUACUUAAUCAGUUAGGGAACAACAGAUGCACUCCAUCCUGCAGCCACCACUGUUUCUUAAAGGAGACUUGAUCCAAGAGAGAGCUAUCCAUGACACUAAUUCUCAGUGGGAAGUCCAACUCACAGUCAGGAGACAAUCUGCCAAACUGAUGCAAAUUGCCUAAUAUCCUAAAGGCAGCAAGACACAGGGUCUAACUGUUCUGGCAGCAGAGGCAGGGCUAGCCCACUGGGGGACCCUAAGCACAAAUAUUUUGGAGCCCCCUUGCCCCUCACCCAUCUCUUGACAAUACUAAUUGUAUUAUUUCCACAAAUCAAAGAAUAUACCUACCCAACACAUACAAGUCCACAUUAAAUAUAAGAAUAGUAUUUUGGGGCCCCCUUGAACUGCUGGGCCCUAAGCAAUUGCUUAGUCUCCUUAUACCUAGUGCCACCACUGUCUGUCAGAAUUAAAUUUCAGACUACAGGAUCCAAUACUAAAUGCAGUGCUCUCCUGUGGACCAAAUUCUGUUGCAUGAUCUGAGACCUCUGUGUCACUCUGGCAACACACAGAGGCCAGGAAGGUGCAGCAACUCUCUCUAAUAGGGGGAGUUCCCAGCUAGUUCUUCCUAUGCUAGGGCUGCAAUGGUAUGACUGUGCUGGAGGGGACAAGGUAAGAAUACCAUGGCACUCUGGCUACUCAGAGAUGCCAUAACAGACUAUUGGGGCUAUAGCCAGCAAGUAUACUUUAGAAUAGCCUCUUUCCAUCCCACAGUGGAUACUAGGCACAGCUGAAAAAUCUAGCCCUGCAGUUUCAGAUUUGCAGAGGAAGAUUCAAACAUCUUCAUUAAUCACAGCUGCCGUGGCAGGAUAAAGGUAUCUGAUAUGGUGGCUGGUUUUAAGACCUAAACUGUUUAAGGUUUUAAAGCUCAAGGCAACAUUUUGCAUCCAGAAGUAAAAUGGCAGACAAUACAGAGUGCGGCGAUCUGCUAUAUUCUGCACUAGUGCAAGUUUCUGGGUAGUCCUUAGGGAUAGCCUCAAGUAGUGUGUUCAGUAACCUAGCCUGAAGCCAAUAGUGACGUGGAUGACAAUCUCUGCUUCUGAAAGGAAUUAAUCUCUUGGCCUGCAGAAAAUGAAAAAGACGUAUAUAUGGACACUGCUGAAAUGAAUUUAAUAAGAUCUCAGACGUAUACACAAUCUUGAGAAUUGGAGGACAAACCACCCUCAACUGGAGUGAGGUCACAGCUUCUGCCAGCCCCUCAAAUACUUUCUCUUGCUAAUAAGUGGUUAGUUUUCAUUCUGGAUCUUUGUUCAGCCAGACAAUAGGAUAGAGAAAUAGCACUGAGUGCAUGGCGCAAAGAAAAGAGAAUAGUAGCAUAUUGAUGGCACUGCAGCACAUAGCAUCUCGUAUGAGAUGUGGUUCUCCCCCUCAGGCAGAGGGGGUACUUGAAGCAGGGGUCUCCUACAUUCCAGGGCAGUACCCUAACCACCUGAAUAAAAGUUAUCAGGGAAGUCUUCCUUCUAUCCUCCCCACCUAACAGCUAGGCACCUACUGCCAAGAGAGGGUUUGCAGCUGAGUAUCCAAAGCAGAGAUAGGUGCAUAUCUGCAGGUUGCCUAUAUCUGAGACAGGAUGGGGCUUAGCGCACACCUUUCUCAUCAGCAUCUCCCACUGGCUAACUUCCAUGUCUGCCUGCCUAAUGUGCUGGCUUUUGUGAAUUGCAGUCUAAGGUGCCUAGCUCUCCCCAUUCAUUAAAUAGGAACUCAGGCACCUAACUCAGUUAAUGGCAGUGAUUUGCUAGGUGCCAAAAAGUUAGGCAUGGUGACACUGAGCAUCAUCAUGCCUAAACUCCUUUUGUGCAUUCAGGCCCCAGUGAGUUAAAGAUAAAAAGAAAUCAAUACUAAACUACUUUCAAUUUAGAAAUGUACAAGAAAACAAAUCAACGUGUAUUAAACUUUCUUUACCCAA